Molecule: transfer RNA, 60 nt
Filed under: Radix sp. MOTU5
Lineage: Eukaryota; Metazoa; Mollusca; Gastropoda; Lymnaeidae
Description: tRNA-Lys
Source: RNAcentral
UUUUUGAUGGCCGAUUAUAAGCAAUAAACUUUUAAUUUAUUUAUGAGUAACCUCUCUUGC